Molecule: ribosomal RNA, 65 nt
Filed under: Cladosporium herbarum
Lineage: Eukaryota; Fungi; Ascomycota; Dothideomycetes; Cladosporiales; Cladosporiaceae
Description: partial 18S ribosomal RNA
Rfam family: Eukaryotic small subunit ribosomal RNA
Source: RNAcentral
CGGUCAUUUAGAGGAAGUAAAAGUCGUAACAAGGUCUCCGUAGGUGAACCUGCGGAGGGAUCAUU